AUCUCAUCGCCGCUUCAAUCGGUACUGUCCAGGACUCUCUCUACUCCGACUUUCCCAUAUCGUGUUUUGGUGGGAAGCUGCCUAAUGAGAAACCAAAACCCCUCGCAGAUAGAGACAAUGUACACAGAGCGGAACAAGAUCUUCGCCUUCAGGAGGUGAACUGAGAUCGGGGAACAUGAACUCACACUUUGGGAAUGCCGACCGGGCCCGACAUUGGUUAUUAAUCAGUUUCCGAUACUGCCGUCGACCAGGAGACAAGAGUUUUGAAUAAAACUCACAGAUGUCUGGGAAGAAAGAGGCAGAGGUGCACUGAGAUUGCUUUGAGCACCGAGGACGUGUCGCAGUCACACUUUUGUUGUUAAUUGAACGUGGCAAGCGAACGACACUGCUCCCCCAAAAUUUCCCACUUUCCCGAUGUUCUCCUCCACCAUGGCCGAUCUCAAGUAUCUUCUGGGUAUGUCGAUGCCUUAGCACUAAUGCCGGAUUCAUGCUAAGUGGUGUGCCACCUCGAUCUCGUUGGUAAGUGUGCUGGCGAUGGUCUGGGAUCCGAGAUCUAUUCAUAGAAGCGCUGUCAUUGGACCUUGCCGCGAGAUGCCAGCUCUUCCGGCAAUUGAUUGAUCACGGAGUCUGCCUGGGCGAUGCACUUUGACGCCUUUGAUUCAAAUCUAAAAGGAUAUAUGAUACAUAUUUAAAUAAGGAACUCGUUAAAAUACUUGCAUAGUUGCAGAGACUACAAAUGAGCCGCGAAUGUGAAACUUUGUACAUGCUGGGUUUACUAACUGUUCUCUAGUAAUCUAGUAAUAAUCAUUUAGUUUAAAUUGAUGUUGUUUAUUUUUCGAUGCUUCUAAAAAACAUGCUACUUAUGUAUGCCUAUCGAUCGUUAAAGCCAAUAUGAGCUUUGGUGGUCGGAAGGCCUAAUAAAAAAUGCACAAUAAAGUCAGGGAGUUGGGAAGAAUAAAAGCCCAAAGAACGCAGUAAACAAAAAACCCAAAUUGUGUGCCUUUUUUGACUGGCAAGCUGGCAACGCUCCCCCUUCUCUUUCUCCCCUAUUACCCGUCUCACUUGCUCCUGCAGAGCUGCUGGACGGACUGGCUGCUUCUUCCGAAUUUUCGGCUGUUCGUCGUGUCCAUCGAGUGAUUUUGAUGGAUUGCUGCCAUUAAUCUAUGACGUACGCAACUACCAAAGGAAAUGCCAUCAUCAUCAAAAGCAGCCCAGAAGACCGAGCCAGCAGCCGGGAUCUGAAGCCAAGGGAGUCGGUAUAUGCUCCAUAGAGGCAACAGGGAGGGCAGAGUACGAAGGGACUGGACUGGGAACCGGGAAUUGGGAACUGCGAACCGGGGCCACGCCACUCGGAAAACAAUGAGCAGGCCAAUGCCAAGGGCUCCGAAAGAAAUCCAAUCCAUGCGGCAUAAAUUGAGGGCCUGCUCCUGGCCGAAAAUGUAACGUUUGGGAAUUGCUGCGUAUUUCGCCUUUAUUUUCUCAAUUUCGAGCUUUUGCCUUUACCUGCCAAGGGAAAUAGGAACACGACUAGCA
This is a long non-coding RNA of Drosophila mauritiana, 1533 nucleotides long. RefSeq lists it as uncharacterized. The record is from RefSeq and is a predicted model, not a curated record. NCBI's taxonomy places the organism in Eukaryota, Metazoa, Arthropoda, Insecta, Diptera, Drosophilidae. The transcript has 3 exons.